UACGUAGGGUGCAAGCGUUGUCCGGAAUUAUUGGGCGUAAAGAGCGUGUAGGCGGCCCGAUUAGUCCGCUGUGAAAGUCCAGGGCUCAACCCUGGAAUGCCGGUGGAUACUGUCGGGCUAGAGUCCGGAAGGGGCGAGUGGAAUUCCUGGUGUAGCGGUGAAAUGCGCAGAUAUCAGGAGGAACACCAAUGGCGAAGGCAGCUCGCUGGGGACGUGACUGACGCUGAGACGCGAAAAGCGUGGGGGAGCAAACAGG
RNAcentral lists this ribosomal RNA (256 nucleotides) under uncultured bacterium. RNAcentral's name for it is "partial 16S ribosomal RNA". It matches the Rfam family "Bacterial small subunit ribosomal RNA", at positions 524 to 776 of the family's 1533-position model. The record is from RNAcentral.